GUAGUCAUAUGCUUGUCUCAAAGAUUAAGCCAUGCAUGUCUAAGUAUAAGCAAUUACAAAGCGAAACUGCGAAUGGCUCAUUAUAUAAGUUAUCGUUUAUUUGAUAGUACCUUACUACAUGGAUAACCGUGGUAAUUCUAGAGCUAAUACAUGCUGAAAAUCCCGACUUCGGAAGGGAUGUAUUUAUUAGAUACAAAACCAAUGCCCUUCGGGGCUCUCUUGGUGAUUCAUGAUAACUUCUCGAAUCGCACGGCCCCGCGCCGGCGAUGGUUCAUUCAAAUUUCUUCCCUAUCAACUUUCGAUGCUGCGGUAUUGUCCUAGCAUGGUUGCAACGGGUGACGGAGGGUUAGGGCUCGACCCCGGAGAAGGAGCCUGAGAAACGGCUACUACAUCCAAGGAAGGCAGCAGGCGCGCAAAUUACCCAAUCCCGACUCGGGGAGGUAGUGACGAUAAAUACCGAUACAGGGCUCUUUUGGGUCCUGUAAUUGGAAUGAGUACAAUUCAAAUCCCUUAACGAGGAACAAUUGGAGGGCAAGUCUGGUGCCAGCAGCCGCGGUAAUUCCAGCUCCAAUAGCGUAUAUUAAAGUUGUUGUGGUUAAAAAGCUCGUAGUAGAAGCUCGGGCUCCGGCCGACCGGUCCGCCUCACCGCGUGCACUGGUUCGGCCGGGCCUUCACCUUCUGCGGAACCGCAUCUCCUUCACUGGGGGUGUCGGGGAAACAGGACGUUUACUGUGAAAAAAUUAGAGUGCUCCAGGCAGGCCUAUGCUCGAAUAGAUUAGCAUGGAAUAAUGGAAUAGGACGUGUGGUCUUAUUUCGUUGGUUUCUAGGACCGCCGUAAUGAUUAAUAGGGACAGUCGGGGGCAUCAGUAUUCAAUCGUCAGAGGUGAAAUUCUUGGAUCGAUUGAAGACUAACUACUGCGAAAGCAUUUGCCAAGGAUGUUUUCAUUUAUCAGGAACGAAAGUUAGGGGAUCGAAGACGAUCAGAUACCGUCGUAGUCUUAACCAUAAACUAUGCCGACUAGGGAUCGGACGGUGUUAUUUCUUGACCCGUUCGGCACCUUACGAGAAAUCAAAGUGCUUGGGCUCCAGGGGGAGUAUGGUCGCAAGGCUGAAACUUAAAGGAAUUGACGGAAGA
Molecule: ribosomal RNA, 1135 nt
Filed under: uncultured Verticillium
Lineage: Eukaryota; Fungi; Ascomycota; Sordariomycetes; Hypocreales
Description: SSU rRNA
Rfam family: Eukaryotic small subunit ribosomal RNA
Source: RNAcentral